GACCAGACUCCUACGGGAGGCAGCAGUGAGGAAUAUUGGUCAAUGGUCGGGAGACUGAACCAGCCAAGCCGCGUGAGGGAGGAAGGUACAGAGUAUCGUAAACCUCUUUUGUCAAGGGACAAAAUCAGGCUCGAGAGCCUGACCGAGGGUACUUGAAGAAAAAGCAUCGGCUAACUCCGUGCCAGCAGCCGCGGUAAUACGGAGGAUGCGAGCGUUAUCCGGAUUUAUUGGGUUUAAAGGGUGCGUAGGCGGACUGUAAAGUCAGGGGUAAAAGCCGGGGGCUCAACCCGGGCGAGCCGUUGAAACUGGCUGUCUUGAGAUGUCGAGAGGUAUGCGGAAUGCGCAGUGUAGCGGUGAAAUGCUUAGAUAUUGCGCAGAACUCCGAUUGCGAAGGCAGCAUACCGGCGCUCAACUGACGCUCAUGCACGAAAGCGUGGGUAUCGAACAGGAUUAGAUACCCCAGUA
RNAcentral lists this ribosomal RNA (465 nucleotides) under uncultured bacterium. Its description in RNAcentral is "bacterial SSU rRNA". It matches the Rfam family "Bacterial small subunit ribosomal RNA", at positions 329 to 792 of the family's 1533-position model. The record is from RNAcentral.